AGAGUUUGAUCCUGGCUCAGGAUGAACGCUAGCGGCAGGCUUAAUACAUGCAAGUCGUGGGGCAGCGCAGGUAGCAAUACUGGGCGGCGACCGGCAAACGGGUGCGGAACACGUACACAACCUUCCUUCAAGUGGGGAAUAGCCCAGAGAAAUUUGGAUUAAUACCCCGUAACAUAACGAUGUGGCAUCACAUUGUUAUUAUAGCUUCGGCGCUUGUUGAUGGGUGUGCGGCUGAUUAGAUAGUUGGCGGGGUAACGGCCCACCAAGUCUACGAUCAGUAGCUGAUGUGAGAGCAUGAUCAGCCACACGGGCACUGAGACACGGGCCCGACUCCUACGGGAGGCAGCAGUAAGGAAUAUUGGUCAAUGGACGAAAGUCUGAACCAGCCAUGCCGCGUGAAGGAUUAAGGUCCUCUGGAUUGUAAACUUCUUUUAUCUGGGACGAAAAAAGGCGAUUCUUCGUCACUUGACGGUACCAGAUGAAUAAGCACCGGCUAACUCCGUGCCAGCAGCCGCGGUAAUACGGAGGGUGCAAGCGUUAUCCGGAUUCACUGGGUUUAAAGGGUGCGUAGGCGGGCAGGUAAGUCAGUGGUGAAAUCCUAGAG
Molecule: ribosomal RNA, 604 nt
Filed under: uncultured freshwater bacterium
Lineage: Bacteria
Description: bacterial SSU rRNA
Rfam family: Bacterial small subunit ribosomal RNA
Source: RNAcentral